RNAcentral lists this ribosomal RNA (305 nucleotides) under uncultured bacterium. Its description in RNAcentral is "bacterial SSU rRNA". It matches the Rfam family "Bacterial small subunit ribosomal RNA", at positions 335 to 658 of the family's 1533-position model. The record is from RNAcentral.
UGCCUACGGGAGGCAGCAGUGGGGGAUAUUGCACAAUGGGGGGAACCCUGAUGCAGCGACGCCGCGUGGGCGAUGGAGUGCUUCGGCAUGUAAAGCCCUAUCAGCAGGGAAGAAAAUGACGGUACCUGACUAAGAAGCCCCGGCUAACUACGUGCCAGCAGCCGCGGUAAUACGUAGGGGGCAAGCGUUAUCCGGAUUUACUGGGUGUAAAGGGAGCGUAGGCGGCGAUGCAAGUCAGAAGUGAAAGCCCGGGGCUCAACUCCGGGACUGCUUUUGAAACUGUGUUGCUAGAUUGCAGGAGAGGG